This 163-nucleotide ribosomal RNA is filed under the name Archaeospora sp. RNAcentral's name for it is "partial small subunit ribosomal RNA". It matches the Rfam family "Eukaryotic small subunit ribosomal RNA", at positions 1639 to 1799 of the family's 1831-position model. The record is from RNAcentral. Lineage: Eukaryota; Fungi; Glomeromycota; Glomeromycetes; Archaeosporales; Archaeosporaceae.
CGUUGAUUACGUCCCUGCCCUUUGUACACACCGCCCGUCGCUACUACCGAUUGAAUGGCUUAGUGAGACCCUCGGAUUGCGGAUCGUUCGUUGGCAACAACACACGGUUUACGAGAAGUUGGUCAAACUUGGUCGUUUAGAGGAAGUAAAAGUCGUAACAAGG